This 500-nucleotide ribosomal RNA is filed under the name uncultured bacterium. RNAcentral describes it as "partial 16S ribosomal RNA". It matches the Rfam family "Bacterial small subunit ribosomal RNA", at positions 30 to 523 of the family's 1533-position model. The record is from RNAcentral.
AUUGAACGCUGGCGGCAUGCCUUACACAUGCAAGUCGAACGGUAACAGGGAGCUUGCUCCGCUGACGAGUGGCGAACGGGUGAGUAAUGUAUCGGAACGUACCUUUCAGUGGGGGAUAACGUAGCGAAAGUUACGCUAAUACCCCAUAUUCUGUGAGCAGGAAAGCAGGGGACCUGCGGGCCUUGCGCUGAUUGAGCGGCUGAUAUCAGAUUAGCUAGUUGGUGAGGUAGAGGCUCACGAAGGCGACGAUCUGUAGCGGGUCUGAGAGGAUGAUCCGCCACACUGGAACUGAGACACGGUCCAGACGCCUACGGGAGGCAGCAGUGGGGAAUUUUGGACAAUGGGGGCAACCCUGAUCCAGCCAUGCCGCGUGAGUGAAGAAGGCCUUCGGGUUGUAAAGCUCUUUCGGCCGGGAAAAAAUCGCAUGGGCUAAUACCCUGUGUGGAUGAUGGUACCGGAGUAAGAAGCACCGGCUAACUACGUGCCAGCCGCCGCCGUAA